CCAACCGCCAAUGCCAUCCCCACCACCUCUCUCCAUGGCUUGACAGCUAUUUCAGCCUUCAUUCCCAUGAUCAUGAACUCAUAUCUCAUAUAUCACAAAUACGUGUUAGGUCAGUUGUGCAUUGCAGGCGAAGUAGAUAUCAAAUUUCCAUGCUUUUGCCACGCAUCUUUUGGAUGAUGAUGAUUCUACUUGAAACAGAUGGUGCAAUAUAAAAGAGCUACACACAUAGGCAAUAAUCAUGCCCCAAAUCGGCCCUCAACAAGCCAUGGUCAGCACGCGUUCUCGAGAAGCUAUGCCUGCGACAGGUCAGCCAGGCAGAAACGGCGCGCGGUUUGUACACCAGGAGGGGGACACUGCGCCGUCUACCCCGGUGGCAGAAGAGAGGGCCCCCGGAAACGGGACAAAUCGGCCCUCGCUUAUUCGGCAUCCUAUGUCGACAGAUCCUGUCACCAGGCAGGAACUCAAUGCUCUCCUAGAGCAGGUGAGUCUCCUUGCCCGAAGAAUUAUUUUGGUUUAGGGAACUUUUUGCUCGAUAUGAACUUAGUAUCAUGUCUUAGAGAACAAAAAUUGUAUGACUCCAUUUUAUGAGCGGAAUGCACUCCUUUAGUGAUUGUUGUGAGUGCCAGUUUUGUUAAAGGUAUAAUGUCUUAUUGUAUUAUUGAUCAGUAUGUCUGACGAGUCGUCACCUCCUUCUGGUGGCCACGAGGAGCGUGGCAUGUCGCGUCAGUCUACUGGCGCGGGUCCCCUAUGGGUGGGCCCUGAGCUCUACGACGGUCUUGAUCUGCACUACGACCUAGAGCACCACGUGACUUCCCGCCUUCACGCGAGGAGAGGGAUUACGGUUCGCGGCUAUGGCGCAGCAACGAGUGAGACCGUUUUUAGUUUCCUGAGCUCGGACACCCAGGCUUUGGUGAGGGCGAGCUCACUGUUUCCGGUGGUCGAGACCUUCUGGGAAAUACUGCGGCUUAACAUAUCCCUGUCCUUUCUGCGGUCGUUCAUGAGGUGGUGGUGGGAUACCACCAACACCUUCCAUUUUCCAUGGGGCGAGAUGACGAUCACUCCCGAAUACUACACGGCUUUGACGGGCUUGAGCUUUACAGGGAACCCUGUUCGUCUGCGGUCGGAUGGCCCAUCGCUGACUGUUGCUGAGGGUACCAGGCUCCUGGGUUCGUGGAUGGGUAAGAGAUUGCCUUCGUACCAGCCCCGUGGGAUACCUUUCGCUGACCUGAUGUGGGCUUUAGAGCAUGGGGUAGAGGAGUAGCCUUCGAGACAGGCUCGGCUGUUCUACCUCCAUUUUAUUACUUCCACUUUUCUAUCGGGUCCAACUGACACCUUUGACCCGAGGUGAAUAGGCAUGGUGGAUGACGUGUCUACACUAGGUGACUAUCGCUUGGGCGAUUUGGGCUAUGCGACGCUCGUCGGCCAGAUAGUUUGGCGGUGCGCGACUCGGACCCGAGUAGACGUCACUUUGUGAUUACAUUAGCGGGAGUGCCGCGUUUGAUCGAGCUGUGGGCUUUUGAGCACUUACCUUGGCUGGCUCCCCGAAAGGGGCAGAGGCCUUUGGAGUUUCCUGCCGGUCGUCGUUGGGGUUGGAAGAAGAAGCUGACAGUGCGUCCACCGCCCGAUACCGUGUGGGAUCUUAUUCGGGACGGGAACCCUGAGCAUGUGGUUUGGACCCCAUGGCUCUCUUUUAGGGGUACUCAUGAUUUGGUCAGGGAUAGUUAUGCCCUGAGCCAGAUGCGGGUCUUGUUCGUUGGCCGCCGGGACCUGUCUGGUACCUGGGAGAGCGGGUACGCAUGCAGACGGUCGGGGCUUUUUCGGUGCCUAGGCCUCCGCCUGCGACCAUGCUGUCUACUCGCUCGAUAGGCGAGUCGUGGAGGGUCCACUCGAGGACUGGCGUGCCGGCGACGGAGUUGGUGAUCGAGGGAGCUAGCUAUCAUCAGUUUAUCCAGGAUUCUCUUCGUCUCCCGCAGCCUGGCGCUGAGUGUCCUGACCCUUCGUUGGGGGGAUGGGUGCUUCCCGAUGCUCGGAUCUCGUAUAUCGGAGAGAGUGGAUCCGAGAUUGUGGAGACUUUCCCGGAAGACCGGGUUUUUCAUGCUCCGCUCCCCGAGGGAGUACAGGCGGUCCCGGCCCGUACGGCCAACGUGAUGGUGGGGGUGGUCAACCGGUUGAAGUCCGCGUUGGUUCGAGCCCGAUCUGCACUUUCUUGCAAGAGCCCCCACUCUACUCGGGUGAUGUGCCCUCUUUUUUUCUUUUGAUCUGUACCUUUUGUUUGGCUUUCUGUUACUCACUCUCUUUUUGUCUUUUCUUGUUGACGGGUGCUGGACGAGCCGGGGCCGACGACGCGGGUCCCUCGGGCGGGGGACACGGUCUUGAGAGAGAGAGAGAGAGCACGGCACUCGCCCCUACGGCAUCGCCGUUCCGACGCGGGGGUGAGUUCUUCCGGGGAGAGGUCCGAGCCGGAGCGUAGACGACGUUCCGUGUCGGUGGCCCGAGAGCCUAGCCCCGAGUUGCAGUCACAACCUCAUUUCUGGGGUGAUUCCGGCUGGGGGCCCUCAUACCACGGGGAGUGGAGUGGAUGGACCGGCGAGGCUUGGAGACAUGGAGCCGAUGACGAGUCUUAGGCUUACCUCCUAUUUUGUACAUAUUCAUUCUUGUAUUCCGCAUGUAUAUAUAUUUUUUUGCGAUUUUUGGUGCAAGAAUGUUUUAAGCCUUUCGUGGGUUUUGCUUUAACAUAUUAUAGUAAUAUUAGCUUUCUAAACCAACGACGAAUUUGGAAAAGGGAAAGAAUUUCGUAAAAAUAAU
Molecule: long non-coding RNA, 2805 nt
Organism: Spinacia oleracea (spinach)
Lineage: Eukaryota; Viridiplantae; Streptophyta; Magnoliopsida; Caryophyllales; Amaranthaceae
Exons: 5
Source: RefSeq, a predicted model, not a curated record